AUUGAACGCUGGCGGCAGGCCUAACACAUGCAAGUCGAAUGGUAACAGGAAACAGCUUGCUGUUUCGCUGACGAGUGGCGGACGGGUGAGUAAUGUCUGGGAAACUGCCUGAUGGAGGGGGAUAACUACUGGAAACGGUAGCUAAUACCGCAUAACGUCGCAAGCCCAAAGAGGGGGACCUUCGGGCCUCUUGCCAUCAGAUGUGCCCAGAUGGGAUUAGCUGGUAGGUGGGGUAACGGCUCACCUAGGCGACGAUCCCUGGCUGGUCUGAGAGGAUGACCAGCCACACUGGAACUGAGACACGGUCCAGACUCCUACGGGAGGCAGCAGUGGGGAAUAUUGCACAAUGGGCGCAAGCCUGAUGCAGCCAUGCCGCGUGUAUGAAGAAGGCCUUCGGGUUGUAAAGUACUUUCAGCGGGGAGGAAGGGAGUAAAGUUAAUACCUUUGCUCAUUGACGUUACCCGCAGAAGAAGCACCGGCUAACUCCGUG
Molecule: ribosomal RNA, 490 nt
Filed under: uncultured bacterium
Lineage: Bacteria
Description: partial 16S ribosomal RNA
Rfam family: Bacterial small subunit ribosomal RNA
Source: RNAcentral